GUAGGUGGCAAGCGUUGUCCGGAAUUAUUGGGCGUAAAGCGCGCGCAGGCGGGUUCUUUAAGUCUGAUGUGAAAGCCCACGGGCUCAACCGUGGAGGGUCAUUGGAAACUGGAGAACUUGAGUACAGAAGAGGAAAGCGGAAUUCCACGUGUAGCGGUGAAAUGCGUAGAGAUGUGGAGGAACACCAGUGGCGAAGGCGGCUUUCUGGUCUGUAACUGACGCUGAGGCGCGAAAGCGUGGGGAGCAAACAGGAUUAGAUACCCUGGUAGUCCACGCCGUAAACGUUGAGUGCUAAGUGUUAGGGGGGUUUCCGCCCCUUAGUGCUGCAGCUAACGCAUUAAGCACUCCGCCUGGGGAGUACGGCCGCAAAGGCUG
Molecule: ribosomal RNA, 375 nt
Filed under: uncultured organism
Description: partial 16S ribosomal RNA
Rfam family: Bacterial small subunit ribosomal RNA
Source: RNAcentral